This 377-nucleotide ribosomal RNA is filed under the name uncultured Serratia sp. RNAcentral's name for it is "bacterial SSU rRNA". It matches the Rfam family "Bacterial small subunit ribosomal RNA", at positions 521 to 896 of the family's 1533-position model. Lineage: Bacteria; Pseudomonadati; Pseudomonadota; Gammaproteobacteria; Enterobacterales; Yersiniaceae. The record is from RNAcentral.
UAAUACGGAGGGUGCAAGCGUUAAUCGGAAUUACUGGGCGUAAAGCGCACGCAGGCGGUUUGUUAAGUCAGAUGUGAAAUCCCCGGGCUCAACCUGGGAACUGCAUUUGAAACUGGCAAGCUAGAGUCUCGUAGAGGGGGGUAGAAUUCCAGGUGUAGCGGUGAAAUGCGUAGAGAUCUGGAGGAAUACCGGUGGCGAAGGCGGCCCCCUGGACGAAGACUGACGCUCAGGUGCGAAAGCGUGGGGAGCAAACAGGAUUAGAUACCCUGGUAGUCCACGCUGUAAACGAUGUCGAUUUGGAGGUUGUGCCCUUGAGGCGUGGCUUCCGGAGCUAACGCGUUAAAUCGACCGCCUGGGGAGUACGGCCGCAAAGGUUA